GCCCUCAUAGCUCAAUGGAUAGAGCAGAUCCGUCCUAAGGAUAAGAUGUAGGUUCGAUUCCUUCUGAGGGCACCA
Molecule: transfer RNA, 75 nt
Filed under: bacterium
Lineage: Bacteria
Description: tRNA-Arg
Rfam family: tRNA
About the family: Transfer RNA (tRNA) molecules are approximately 80 nucleotides in length. Their secondary structure includes four short double-helical elements and three loops (D, anti-codon, and T loops). Further hydrogen bonds mediate the characteristic L-shaped molecular structure. tRNAs have two regions of fundamental functional importance: the anti-codon, which is responsible for specific mRNA codon recognition, and the 3' end, to which the tRNAs corresponding amino acid is attached (by aminoacyl-tRNA synthetases). tRNAs cope with the degeneracy of the genetic code in two manners: having more than one tRNA (with a specific anti-codon) for a particular amino acid; and 'wobble' base-pairing, i.e. permitting non-standard base-pairing at the 3rd anti-codon position.
Source: RNAcentral